UCCGUAGGCGGAUUGAUAAGUCAGAGGUGAAAUCCCACAGCUUAACUGUGGAACUGCCUUUGAAACUGUUAGUCUUGAGUUAUAUGGAAGUAGAUAGAAUGUGUAGCGUAGCGGUGAAAUGCAUAGAGAUUACACAGAAUACCGAUUGCGAAGGCAGUCUACUACGUAUAUACUGACGCUAAUGGACGAAAGCGUGGGGAGCGAACAGGAUUAGAUACCCUGGUAGUCC
Molecule: ribosomal RNA, 229 nt
Filed under: uncultured bacterium
Lineage: Bacteria
Description: partial 16S ribosomal RNA
Rfam family: Bacterial small subunit ribosomal RNA
Source: RNAcentral